This 536-nucleotide ribosomal RNA is filed under the name uncultured Pseudomonadota bacterium. Its description in RNAcentral is "bacterial SSU rRNA". It matches the Rfam family "Bacterial small subunit ribosomal RNA", at positions 92 to 625 of the family's 1533-position model. The record is from RNAcentral. Lineage: Bacteria; Pseudomonadati; Pseudomonadota.
CUAGUGGCGGACGGGUGAGGAAUACGUAGGAAUUUGCCCUUAAGUGGGGGAUAACCCGGGGAAACCCGGAUUAAUACCGCAUGAUCUUUUCGAAGCAAAGCCGGGGACCGCAAGGCCUGGCGCUUUUGGAGAAGCCUACGUCGGAUUAGCUAGUUGGUGAGGUAAUGGCUCACCAAGGCUGCGAUCCGUAACUGGUCUGAGAGGAUGAUCAGUCACAUCGGAACUGAGACACGGUCCGAACUCCUACGGGAGGCAGCAGUGGGGAAUAUUGGACAAUGGGCGAAAGCCUGAUCCAGCAAUACCGCGUGUGUGAAGAAGGCCUUCGGGUUGUAAAGCACUUUAGGUCGGAAAGAAAAAACUUGAGUUAAUACCUUAAGUCUUGACGGUACCGACAGAAUAAGCACCGGCUAACUCUGUGCCAGCAGCCGCGGUAAUACAGAGGGUGCAAGCGUUAAUCGGAUUUACUGGGCGUAAAGCGUGCGUAGGUGGCUGUUUAAGUCGGAUGUGAAAGCCCUGGGCUUAACCUGGGAACUGCA